CCCUCCACAUAAGUCUGUCAGACUAUGUAAAAAGUUAUUUUUGACUCUGUAAAAUGUAUUUUAGUUAUUAGCAAAGGGUAAUCUUGUCUUUUGUAUUUUCCUAGCUUCCUAUAUGUAUUGGCCCUUUGGCCUUAUCUCUAUCAUCAAUUCCAUAUUGCAUUUCUCUCUUCUUCUCCUCUCCCUUCUCUCUUCUUCUUCUCUCCUUCUGUCUUCAUAUGCAGCUGAUCUAACUUGGUAUCAAGAGCAAGGUUUGCUAAGGCCACAGCUUUCGCGAACCAAUAAAAUAUUCUACUGCGGCAUACCUCUUGG
This 309-nucleotide long non-coding RNA is filed under the name Lupinus angustifolius (narrow-leaved blue lupine). Its description in RNAcentral is "long non-coding RNA (LANG_LNC003718)". The record is from RNAcentral. Lineage: Eukaryota; Viridiplantae; Streptophyta; Magnoliopsida; Fabales; Fabaceae.